RNAcentral lists this ribosomal RNA (253 nucleotides) under uncultured bacterium. RNAcentral's name for it is "partial 16S ribosomal RNA". It matches the Rfam family "Bacterial small subunit ribosomal RNA", at positions 524 to 776 of the family's 1533-position model. The record is from RNAcentral.
UACAGAGGUCUCAAGCGUUGUUCGGAAUCAUUGGGCGUAAAGGGUGUGUAGGUGGCGCCGUAAGUCGGGUGUGAAAUUUCGGAGCUUAACUCCGAAACUGCAUUCGAUACUGCGGUGCUUGAGGACUGGAGAGGAGACUGGAAUUCAUGGUGUAGCAGUGAAAUGCGUAGAGAUCAUGAGGAAGACCAGUGGCGAAGGCGGGUCUCUGGACAGUUCCUGACACUGAGACACGAAGGCCAGGGGAGCAAACGGG